UCUUUCAAUUUUGAUGCGCCAGUUUGAGCAUGUCCCCCGGGCACCCUGAGAUCAUAUCAAAGGGUUUUCGUGGUUGGAUACCGCUGUCGAUCCUGGUGACACAGGA
Long non-coding RNA from Aricia agestis (brown argus), 106 nucleotides. RefSeq lists it as uncharacterized. The transcript is spliced from 3 exons. The record is from RefSeq and is a predicted model, not a curated record. Lineage: Eukaryota; Metazoa; Arthropoda; Insecta; Lepidoptera; Lycaenidae.